This 397-nucleotide ribosomal RNA is filed under the name uncultured bacterium. Its description in RNAcentral is "partial 16S ribosomal RNA". It matches the Rfam family "Bacterial small subunit ribosomal RNA", at positions 523 to 918 of the family's 1533-position model. The record is from RNAcentral.
AUACGGAGGAUGCAAGCGUUAUCCGGAUUUAUUGGGUUUAAAGGGUGCGUAGGCGGGCUGUUAAGCGUGAGGCGAAAGCUCGGGGCUCAACCCCGGAACUGCCUCGCGAACUGGCGGUCUUGAAUGUCCGUGCCGUGGGAGGAAUGUGUGGUGUAGCGGUGAAAUGCAUAGAGAUCACACAGAACACCGAUUGCGAAGGCAUCUCACGAACGGAUGAUUGACGCUGAGGCACGAAAGCGUGGGGAUCAAACAGGAUUAGAUACCCUGGUAGUCCACGCCCUAAACGAUGAAUACUAGGUGUAGGGGGUAUCAACUCCCUCUGUGCCGCAGCAAACGCAAUAAGUAUUCCGCCUGGGGAGUACGGCCGCAAGGUUGAAACUCAAAGGAAUUGACGGGG